This 280-nucleotide unclassified non-coding RNA is filed under the name Hevea brasiliensis (rubber tree). Lineage: Eukaryota; Viridiplantae; Streptophyta; Magnoliopsida; Malpighiales; Euphorbiaceae. The record is from RNAcentral.
GGGUAAGUCAUUGUCAAGUUUAAUUCCAUAUUUCCAUUCUUUUCCAUCAACUAAAUAUUCAAUUGCGCUUCUCUUCCACUCUCUAUAUAUUUGGUGAACAAAUAUAUAACAUUUCUUUGCUAAUUAUUAUCACUUGAGAUACCUUUUUGACUUAUUUUUUGAUAAGUGGCUUGAUGUGCCUUCUGUCUACUUAUUGUACCUAGUGGAAUUGCUGGUUACCUGACUUGGCACUUUAGUGAUCUCUCUCUCUUGGUGGCAGUGGUAAAGAGAAAGGGAGAAG